AUCCUUUGCAGUUCGUAAGCAUGAUGAUCGGGUUUUCACAUGCCUGCGUACAACGCGUCUCCCACAAACCUUCUUACAACAUGGGCACAUUAACUGUCUACCU
Molecule: small nucleolar RNA, 103 nt
Organism: Otolemur garnettii (small-eared galago)
Lineage: Eukaryota; Metazoa; Chordata; Mammalia; Primates; Galagidae
Source: Ensembl